CUAUUUGAAAACCAUUGACUACCCACACAUCCAAUGUGGAAGCCUCAUCAAAACUUCCAGUGCAGCCAUUUUCAAAGAAAAUAUUUGCUUUGAUUUGAAAGGAAACAUUUUGCAGAAGAUUUUGAUCAAAAUUAAAAGUGAGACUGAAAUCAGUACAAGUAAUUCCAGGGAUUUGGGUCCUUCUGAAAUGAUCCAUAUGGUAACCAUUUUUUAAAAAAUUCAUUUGCCUAAUCACAAAACAGAAGGUUGGUGGGUUUUGGCUUUUUUUGUUUUUGUUUGGUUUGGAUUUUUUUAAUUCCAAUCUUGAGGAAAACUCAUACACUUUCAGGAAAGUUUUACAAGCAAUAAGAAAGGCAACUUUAGAAUUUACUUUAAAUGAGUUAUCCUUCAAACCUUUGCAAUUUUGACUGUGAGGUUACUGACACAGUGACAGUUUUCUACUGUCUGUGAUUCCAUUAUCCACACCUUCCUGAGUAGCAUACUCAACUUCAAGGUUAAUCUAAUGUAGGGUUUGAAAAGAACAAGACAUUGCAGAUGUACGUAAGAAACUUAAUCUUUGGGCAACUAUUCCAACAGAACCCAUUUCUUUUUUUUUCCCUACUUGCCUGCCUGAGAUGUUCAUUGUAAAUACAGCCAAUACUACUACCGAUUGAUGGCAGUGGGAAGCAGGUAUGGAAAAAGAAGCCCAAGAGACAGCUUGUCUUUACAGGACACAUCUCAAUAUCUAAGUAUAAGAAAAAGCCACAAAGGCCUUAAUCUCAUUUCCUUCAAAAGUGGAAAUUCAAGAAUUUAGCUAUUCCUUUUAGCAAAUUUACCUUUUCUAAUUUGAGCACAUCACAUUAAAAUGUUCAAUUCAGGAAUAGAACAUAAAUUUUAAAUCUAAUUAAUUAAAAAAAAGUGACUUAUUUUUCUUUAUAAACAAAGACAAAUUAAAAAUAACAGUCAAUGAAAUUGGCAGAAAACCUUAAAAUUUCAUACCAGGAAACCAAGGAUUACACAUAUGUAAAUAUAUUUUUGAAUUUCUAGAAAUUCUAUCAAAAGCAGCUCUUCUCCUUUAAAGUGGAUUUUAUAUAUUGAAAUGAACAUGAAAUAUAAUUUCAUAGUUCAAUGCAGAAAAUGGCCCUGCUGCUGUAACUGGUACUUCUAUACUGCUCCAUGCUCCUGAACUGAAGGGCUGUUAUUAAAUAAUAGUAGACAGUUUAAAUUUGGAGCUAAAUUUGGCACUAUCUUCAAGGAACACCAACACCAACCUCCUCCCUACUCACCCACUAGCCUCCCCCAGGAAACUAAGCAAUUGAAUGCACUUGUGGUCGAUGACAGAAAGAGAAGAUUAAAACCCUAAGCGAAUUCCUGCUUUAUUCCUGUGUCUUUUAAUGCAUAAUCAUCAACAACAGUAUUAACUGUCUCCCAUAAUCAGUUAUUUUGGCUCUCACUGGAAGGUGAAACAAUAGAUGUUUUGCUCUGUCUUCAAGAGAAAGUGGAUGCUGAAUCUCUAUCAAGAAAUAUUUUUUUUCCCAAUUAUGUAUGCUAAGUUUUUUUUAUUCAGUUAAAACAACUUUAUAAAAUAAAGUGAUUUAUACUGACAGCCUGGAAAACACUGAUCCCAUAUGCUUAAAUGUCACACUCACUGCGCUGUACUAUGCAAUAGAUUUAAAAUAUUACAUGAUGUUAUAAUUGAUAUUGUCACAAAAUAUUUUUAAACAUAAUAAAAUAUAAAAUACACUAUUUUCCCUUUCCUAUCAUGAAUCGUUUUAUCCUAUUCCUUUAAAGACUUGGAGUUAAAAGGUUUUCACCACAAUAAGCUAUUAACGUCAGCUGUUUCACAAUUCGUAACAUAAAUUUAUAACAAGUUUCUCUGUUUUUAACUACACGGGAACAUUGAGUUAUUUCUGAAGGCAAUGUUUCCUGCGAUUUCACUUUCUUCAUCAAAAGUCACCCAUAAGUCAACUGCUCCAGCUAUUUCAAAAUGAACUUUGUUUGAUGGCUUCAGUUUUUUCUCUCCCUUCUGGCUAAGGAGUUGCGAAGCAAAGCAAAGCAGAACAGGUAUUGGUGCACUGUAUUACAGAUAGGAUCAAAUGCCAUAUAACACGAAGCAAUUGUUUUGUAGCCAAUAGCUAACUUCUAAUAACUGAAUCACAAAAUUACUGUUCAUUUCUUGCUAACUGAAAAAAAACUUUCGUUGCAAACAUCACCUUGCUGAAAGCUUUGAACAUUUUUCUCUUUUGUUUUUACAGGCACAGUAAGCAACAAACAAUGCCCCUCACUCCACUCUGCAAUACACAGUAGGUUGAUUUCUGCACUGACAUUUGUUAAAUUAAAACUUCUGAUUCAUUUCAUUUUAAUCUUUUAGAGUGGAAUAGUGAAUUUGCAGAGUAAUUGUAUUUUGCUCAAAAGAACAACAACCCAGAUCCCAAAUGCUGUUGUUUUAAAAGCUUCAACAGUUUGGAGUUGCGUCUGGUUUUUCUGCCCUGCAGACUGUGCUCACUUCAAGAUGAUCGAUGCAGAGGGAUGAGGAUCCUUUAGAAACUGUCUGAUGUUGCAGUACCUGAAUGUUACCCUAACUAGUCAUAUGAAGUUUCUUCUAUUCUGCUGGCUGACAUAAGGUGCAUCUACAUUGGCUUUUUGGCUUGGAUGAGCAGUGAGUGUUCUUCUCAAGUGAUUUUUCUGAUUAUUGCACUGACCAGACUACAGCUGACGCCACAAUGUGGCCUCAGAUCCAACAGACUGAGUUUCUUUUAUACGAAAUUCGAAUAGGAUCUAAACUGCUGGUGGGCUUAACUACAGUUCAGCCAAAGUGAAUUCCCCCAAAUGCAUACAAUAGCCAUGUCAGGUCCUUAGCACAAACAGCUUGGCUCUGAGGAUCUGCUCCUCUUACACUGCACUGCUUGCUAAGGUAGACAUAUAAUUAUAACAGCCUAUCUUCAGAUCCUAAAUUAAUAGUGAUAAACCUUAGGAAGUCAACUGCCAGGUCAAGAGCAUACCCAACACCACCAAAGCAAAAGAUAGGCCUGUUUGGAAGGCUUUUUCCUCCAUACAGGAGAGGUACUAGAAAAACUUUUUACUUGGAUAGUUUUACAGCU
This is a long non-coding RNA of Strigops habroptila (Kakapo), 3080 nucleotides long. The record is from Ensembl. Lineage: Eukaryota; Metazoa; Chordata; Aves; Psittaciformes; Psittacidae.